RNAcentral lists this ribosomal RNA (492 nucleotides) under uncultured bacterium. RNAcentral describes it as "partial 16S ribosomal RNA". It matches the Rfam family "Bacterial small subunit ribosomal RNA", at positions 29 to 507 of the family's 1533-position model. The record is from RNAcentral.
AGUGAACGCUGGCGGUAGGCCUAACACAUGCAAGUCGAACGGCAGCACAGUAAGAGCUUGCUCUUACGGGUGGCGAGUGGCGGACGGGUGAGGAAUACAUCGGAAUCUACUUUUUCGUGGGGGAUAACGUAGGGAAACUUACGCUAAUACCUCAUACGACCUACGGGUGAAAGCAGGGGAUCUUCGGACCUUGCGCGAUUGAAUGAGCCGAUGUCGGAUUAGCUAGUUUGCGGGGUAAAGGCCCACCAAGGCGACGAUCCGUAGCUGGUCUGAGAGGAUGAUCAGCCACACUGGAACUGAGACACGGUCCAGACUCCUACGGGAGGCAGCAGUGGGGAAUAUUGGACAAUGGGCGCAAGCCUGAUCCAGCCAUACCGCGUGGGUGAAGAAGGCCUUCGGGUUGUAAAGCCCUUUUGUUGGGAAAGAAAAGCAGCAGGUUAAUACCCCGCUGUUCUGACGGUACCCAAAGAAUAAGCACCGGCUAACUUCGUG